Pseudophryne corroboree (corroboree frog) is the source of this 8119-nucleotide RNA transcript. It is a transcript of the gene named hdc homolog, cell cycle regulator, with no coding region annotated. The record is from RefSeq and is a predicted model, not a curated record. NCBI's taxonomy places the organism in Eukaryota, Metazoa, Chordata, Amphibia, Anura, Myobatrachidae. The transcript has 5 exons.
CACCCGGAUCCGGCCAGCGGAUUGGAGGGCGGACAGGGCGCGGAAACAGACGCAUUGGUGGCGGAGACAGGAUGGGGCGGCCCGGGGGAGCAGCAGCGUGCGGACGCUGCACGGGCAUGGGCGGUGGGGGCUGACGUCACACGAUCCAGGGGAAACUGACAGGGGGGAGGAACCGAGCGCCGCAGCAGCACGGAGAGCAGAACCAAAACAACGAGACACGCCUGCUGCAAGUCUUGCUGCUGCUGCUGCUGCCUCCACUCUGCCCGCUUACCCGCUGCGGGCUGCUCUCCUCCUCACCCGCAGGGCUCCGGGAUGCAGCAGUGCAGGAGAUAGACACCGCAGCAGCGCCCGUUCAGUAUUCUCACUGGCAGCCAGGGCAGCAUGCAGGAGAGCGGGGUAAGCAGCUGAAGGCUCCCUGGACGGAUCCGACCUCUGGAUGCGCAAUGCCUAACGUGAAGAACAGCAAAGGGAAGAAGAACAAGCGCGCCAACAGCAGCGGGGAUGAGCAGGAUAAUGGAGCAAUGGCAGCUGCUGUCGCCACCGCCGCCGCCGUCGUCGCUGCAGGAGGCAUGGCAGCAGCCACUGUGGGAGCCGCAGCCGCCGCCUCUGCAGUGCCCGUCGCAGCCUCGGCGGCAGCUCCGGUGGCAUCGGCCGCACCUUCCAGUGACUGCAACAGGAACGAAGCAGUUUGUGCCACGCCACUUAUUUGUAGUCUAAGUAGACCAGUUGAGUUGGAGAAAGACGACUACCAGAAGGUGAUCUGUAACAACGAGCACUGUCCAUAUAGUACUUGGAUGCAUCUGCAGUGCUUUUAUGAAUGGGAGAGCAGCAUUCUUAUCCAGUUCAACUGUAUUGGUAGAGCACGCAGCUGGAAUGAGAAACAGUGCCGCCAGAACAUGUGGACUAAAAAAGGAUAUGACCUGGCUUUUCGGUUUUGCUCAUGCCGUUGUGGUCAGGGCCAUUUGAAGAAAGAUACAGAUUGGUAUCAGGUAAAACGAAUGCAGGAUGAAAAGAAGAAAAAAUCUGGCCCAGAAAAGCCCACAGGAAGAUCCAUGUCUGAGUCUUCCGAUGAAGUGAAGAAGUGCCGUGGUACAGCAAAACCUCAGAAAUCACUGAGCUUUGAUCCUCCCCGCAGGCAUUCCGUGGACAGACAGAACUCCCAAGAAAAGAGUGGCAGUGGCAGUUCACAUGGAUUACGAUCUCCAUGUAUUUCUCCCGGCCAGUCUCCUCCUGCUGGCUAUCCCAUUCUCUCCCCUUCCCACUUUAACGUUCCCCGCAGUUCUAGAUACCUAGGUGAAUUUUUAAAGAAUGCAAUUCAUUUGGAGCCACAUAAAAAAAAUAUGACCCCUGGAGGGGUUCUCAGGAACACACACUUUGACUACAGUGUUUCUGGACUGCAGGCUCACCGGUCAGGACGUUUGGACGCACCAGUACAAUUUCUCAGAAGACUUGACCUUUCUGAGUUAUUAGCUCAUAUACCGAGGCAUAAAUUGAACACUUUCCAUGUGCGUAUGGAAGAUGAUGCACAAGUUGGGCAGGGAGAGGAUCUACGAAAAUUUAUCUUAUCAGCGCUCAGUGCUAGUCACAGAAAUGUAGUCAACUGUGCUUUAUGUCACCGGGUGCUCCCUGUGUUUGAGCAGUUUCCUCUGGUGGAUGGGACAUUAUUCCUCAGUCCCUCAAGGCAUGAUGAGAUUGACUAUGAUGUACCUUGCCAUCUUCAAGGAAGGCUUAUGCACUUGUAUGCUGUCUGUGUGGACUGUUUAGAAGGUGUUCACAAAAUCAUCUGCAUCAAAUGCAAAUCUCGAUGGGAUGGAAGCUGGCAUCAACUGGGAACGAUGUACACGUAUGACAUUUUAGCAGCCUCCCCAUGCUGUCAGGCCCGUCUGAAUUGCAAGCACUGUGGGAAGCCAGUCAUUGAUGUACGCAUUGGAAUGCGUUAUUUCUCAGAAUACAGCAACGUUCAACAGUGCCCUCACUGUGGGAAUUUAGACUACCAUUUUGUGAAGCCAUUUUCCUCAUUUAAAGUUCUAGAGGCCUAUUGACGAAAGCUUUGUUUUAGUAAUAGCCAUUUUAUAGGUAUUACUACUUUGUUAUAUAUCUUUUUAUAGGAAAUAUUCUGUAAAAAAAACCCUUUUCUAAUUCAAAAAAAUUGCAGCGUUUUUUCUUUGAAUUGUGUUACUAAAACUGUAUAUAGUAUUUACAGUUUCCCGAAUUUAAGUGGGAAAUGUAAAAUGAAAAUGUGACGGGUGAAUGUAAAUCUAUGCCAGCAAAGUGUAUUUUUUUUUCUGUCAUCUUUUAAGUAUUUGGGCAUAGUACUCUAAUUUCUAUAUAAAAUUUGUCCUGAUUGACUAAGCACUUAAAAAAAAAAAUUCCACCAAAGUAAAUUUAGAUAUUUUUAACAAUAAAUUUGAUAUUUUAAGCCAUUUGCUUUUUUUAUUAGCAUUUUUGUUCUAAUUAGAGAAAUGUGGUCAAACUGUUAUAGCAUUUUUUAUAUAUUUUGAAUUGGUAUAAAAUGAUCAUACUUCUUAAACACCUUCACUGGUAGUGUGCAAAAUGAAAUCAUGUAUUUUUCUCAUUUUAAAGUCUUUCUUUUUAAAAAGGAAAAAUGUGAUUUUGUGUUGAAUUGGAUGGCCUAAAAUAGAGACUUUCAUUUUAUAGUUUUCAAUGUAUCUGGCGGGUCACUGGAUGCUUAUUACGGUUUGUGUUGACCUUUUUUGCUUUGGUAAAGCCCCCUACGAACUACCUAUUCAUAUGAAUUAAAAGUUCAGUAGGAAAAGGUUUUAAAUUUUUUUUUACAAAGUCCACUGGGGGCCGUCCAUUUGAUUUGACUAUUCAGUAGAUUUACUGUUUUAUAAUACUCUAAUAAUACAAUUUGGGAUAUUAUUUUAGGUCCCCUAAUUUCACCCACAACUCUUUACAUUUUGGGUUAGAUAUGUCUUCUCGUUUGAAACCAAUCAAAUAUUUCAUGUUUUUAUAUUGUACUAUUGGAGAGCACUGAUGAUUUCUCUUUUUGGAUGCUUUAUUUUAAUCAUAUCCUACAAAUGUAAAUUUGAUGCAUUUGGAAACCAACACAUUGUUUUUAAAAAUAAACAGGCUAGAUUGAAUCUUUAAAAUCAUUAUAUUGAAAGCUAAUCAGCUCUUUAUGGAAUAGUUCACACUUAUCAGCAUUUAAUGAGAACAUAGAAACAGAGUUAAAAUGGAAUAAGGAUUCUUUUUUUCGCAUUAUCACAAUUUGUAUUCCAAACUUUGAAUGCCAUAUUUAAAAUUGAAUAACACUACAGACGUGUAUUUCCAUGUGUUAGUGCAUUUUAUCAGUACAAUUGGGAAACGGAAUGAAAAAUAUUCUAAAACUGUAUUGCUAAGAUAUGCAGCAUUUUGGUAUAUGUAAUCAUCCUCUUAAGGGGGUAUUCAACUUGAUGCAGUAAUUUACCGCAUGUGGAAAAGGGUGGUAGCCGCAGGCUUUAACAACUGGGGCUAUUCAAUUAGAUACCCUUUUUCUCAACCGGUAAAUUACUGUGUUAAUUGGCAUUAACUCAUAGAAUCUGGAAUAAGUUGUCAAACCUAUGAGUUAACAUUGCCACAGCACCCUAAAAACAGGUUAUUUUGGGGGGAUUUCUUUGAAGAAAAAGUCCCCCUUAUCUGCAGUCUGUGAGCUGCAUUUGGGCAAGCUUUGCAAAUAGUAGGGUGGGUUUUUUAUUUCCAGUUUAGGUUUUUAGGGUAUGCUGCUUCUUUAAAAAAAAUUCUUUUUAGUAAAUCAUCACACUGUUUUAGAUUGUUUAGCUUUUUCUUUUAAACAAUAUAUCAUGUGCAAUAUUGAACAAAAAUAUUUUACAAUGCAUUGAAAAUAUCGAAAUAGCUCUAACCAUGGUACUGAGUAUAAUUAUUCUCCUAAUAAAUAAGGUUCACUGUUCUGCUUGCAGAAAAUGAAGUAUAAAAUAUACGUAUAUUAAUUACACAACCUGCAGUGAUAAUUUUGUGGUUUAAAGCUACAACAAGGGGAGGGUUUACACCUACAAUGCCUGCUUAUUUUACUAUGGGAAGGGAUGGAGUGGUAGCAAGUCCUGCAGAAUAAUCCGAUCUGACUAGUUUAUCUUCUGAACUCACGGUAGUGAAGUCUGCUUUAGUGGAUACAUUAGAUCCUAUACACAGCUGCACAGCAACAUUGCAAUGUACACUGCUUAGAUGUCCCCAAUAGUACAGCCAUGCCUGUCCUUAUCUACUGAAGUAGAAGUGGCUUAGUGGGCAAUAUUUUCCAGAUCUCCAUGACAUCCGCAAUAAUUAGCUGAAAUCUUCUAUUGAAUCAAUGGAGCCCUAACCAUAAAAUUCAGUGUGGUGCUUAGUACGAAAACAGCAUUUAACUAAUACACCUAACAAUUUAACAUGAGGUCAUUUAAAAUAUUUGCAGAUAAUAAUUUCCUUAUGUUGUUGACGAUUUGCUUUCCAGGUUGCAACAUGAGAGAAAGCGAUCCGCCUGUGUAAGCACUCUGCAGAUAGCCUUUCAGUUUAGCUGAUCAGAGGAAAUAGACAAAUUGUAUGUAACAUUAAACACCAUAAGGCAAAGUACAUUUCUGCUCCAAUGUACAGGUGGAAAAUUCAGAGCCAACAAACCUUUGCAGUCAAACAGAACAAUAGCUGGAAAUGCUUAUUUUCUUUUGUUCCUGUAUAAAAACAGUUUACUUAACCUAAGCCCAGUGUGUAAUCGUCAAACUAGUAUUUAUGGAUAGUACUACUGUAGCAAUACAUGUACAGUAUUUGCUGAGCUACACUGACAUGAUGUGAUAUUGUAUAUUCGAUCAACUUUUUAGUGUUAGCCUUAGGUAUCUUAUAACAAAGACUCUUUUCUCAACGAUGUGUAAAAAAAAUUGGAGCUGGAGGUUGAAGUCCCAUGGUGUAAAAGCUAACCUGCCAUACAUAUGUUAAGCCAAAAACCAUAGAUGAGGUAUAUACUUAAUUUUUUGAGGGGACAAAGGCACAAAAGUAAUAUACAAGGAGAGCAUCUGUAAAUAUUCCCACACUGCAUACAUAAAAAACAGAAACAUACAGUGUCAAAAGCAUGUGAAAUAAAACAAACCACAUCCCUCGAAACCAUAAAUCAACAGCAUAUUACACCGUCGUAUAAAUAACAGCGCAAGGGCUAUCACGGAGAUGAGAGUGGAGAGAAGGCCUAGCGUAUCUAGGCUGUUGCUAUCCAUUCCAGAUUUGGUAAAAUUUGGACUCCGUAUUUUGAGUAAUAUUCAAGUAUUUUUCAUGAGUGAGGGUAACAUUGACCUGGGAAACCAAAGCACUGACUUUGGGACCAGAGAUGGAUAUCCAGGAGCAAGCUACACCUUGGCCAAGGUUAAAAACAUGUCUAGUUUAUUUAGCUAGGGUAUCUACAUCUAAAACCCCUAGAGAGCAUGGCAUGUAUAAGAAUAGAAGGGGAAUCCCAGUAGAGGAGAUUGACCAUAAAACCCUAUACCAAAAAAGCAUUAGCCAGGGUACUUCUCCAUAACAGAUCCCAGACUGUGUCCCGGGAGGCCUGGCAUUUGAGACACGCUUCAGUAGCCUGACCUCCCAAUUUCAUUAACCUUAUGGGGUAAGAUAAGUUCUGUGUAAUAAAAACAAUUGAAAUUCCUGAAAUCUAAUGGAAGUGAUAAAUAUACGUGUGGGCUCCCAAGAGCCAUAGUCUGUGUGUGAUCACACGGGACCCUCAUCGAACUCCCAACUUAGCCUAACGUGUGGCAAAUAUGUUGAGUGGUGAGCAGACAUAAGGAAGGUAUAGAGGCAGGAAAGCGUUCUACGGGAACCGAUGGAAGAGGGAAACCAUUGGAGGUUGGGGCCUUGGAUAGGGGAAUUCUCAUCUGAAAACUGGGGCAGCCAAGGCAUGCCAGUGUUGCAAAUAUAGAAGUGAGUGGAAAGAAGUCGAUUCAUAACGAAGCUGAGUAAAGGAGUUUAGUAUAUAAUUGUCAUACAGCUGUUCUGUCACCCCACACCACUGUAUAAUGAAGAACGAAGAGAUCAGACAGCGACUUACUGAUAAAAAUGUUUUUACAUAGUUGUCAUACAUGAAAUAACCUUCAAAAUUAUUAUGCCCAUCUUACAGCAAUUAAUGGCUAAAGGACUUGUGGAAAUCACAAUAAUAGGUGACACCAAUGGUUAUAGCGCUACUGAUACUGAAAUGACUUUGAAGUUUAGUAACACGUCUGAUAGUUCUGUAUAGCUAAAGAAAUGCAACUGGCUAGUGCUAAGAAUCUCCAUUGAUGAUGAUGGAAGCGAUUCAAUUGUUUUACCGCGCCCUGCACAGCAUAUCGCCGGUAACUUUAGAUGGGGCUAUAUGCAAAUAUUUGUUCUGGCGCCCAUUGUUUUUUGCACAUUUUGUGCCCAAAAACAAAGUUUAGCUGUGCAAAGCAGCUAAACCCAUCUAAAGUACUGAGGGCAUAUUGUGAAAAGUUGGCAAUAUGCGUGCCCAAUUGUAGCCACAAUAGAUUUACUCCUUCUGGUGUCGGGUCACUUAAAAAAAUUAAAAAAAAAAAUGAAAUUUCCCCAAUGAUAAACCCAGAAACAAGGGAUACAUUCUUCAGCUUGAAAUAUAGGCAUUUGUAGCAAGCCUCAAACUACCCUUAGGGCCAAGGAACAAAGGUGUUUUAGAAUGCUGUAGGUUAACAACAACUGUGGCAUUAGUAGGCAUGAAACCCUUUUAUAACACUUUGAACGGCACUAACAUCAUUCGUGCUACUGUCACAUUAACCAGGACACCAUACCUUCAAGAUGCCACAGCCACGGUUUGUAUAGGAAACGCUUGCUAGAGUGUAGGACAGUGCUCAUUCUCACGAUUAGAAUGUCUUGAUAUUUUUCUUUAUGCAGUACUUAUAAUUUUGGUGAAGGGUUUCUGAUUAGAUUAUUCAACUUUUUGAUAUUCAGUUACCUCUAUUUUUCUAGAGGUUGCGACAAAUUCCUUAUGCAGUCCUUAGAAAGUAAUAAGUUGGCACUUGGCAUUAUCUGAUCAGUAUUCCUUAAUGUGGGACCUCUGAUAUUGCAUAAUUCCAGGGAAUGGUGUACACUGACUGCUUCAUUUUCAUUGAGAACGUUUAGUUAGAUUAUUUAACUAAAAUGACAAUGCCUUUGUCAUUCCCCGAACAGAAACGCAUUCGUUUUUCAUAACCAUCAGCUGAAGUCAGAGUAUGUAAUAAAAACCUACACUUCUUCCCAUUGCUACAGUAACAAGGACCAUCAUUCUUUACAAGCCUGUCAGACCAUGUACACCCCCGCUCUCCUUUUCAGAAAAUAUCACAUGCAUUAUGUAAAAAAGGCAGCAAAAUGAAAAAGUAAGCAUUUGUGGAAGACAUCAGAAAGCACGAUAUAUAGAUAGUUGUCCGUGUAGUUUUAAUGAGAAAAAAGGUGACAGAUUUAAGCCAUGGGCCAUUUUACACCUAGGAUAUACUGUAUGUAUGUACUGUAUACUAUAUAAAUCAUUUAUGUAUUUGCAGAAAUGUUUUCAGUUGCAAUAAGCCUGUAACUAUGACAAAUAACCUUUUUUUGUUGUAAGAAUGAAUUGUGACAUUGCACUUUCCACUUCUGAAAUUAGAGCAUGUUGUGUUAUCAGUUUCAUUUUAACCAUAUGGCCAGGAUUUAUUCACCUGUAAUAGCAUAUAAACAUUAUAGCAUUCUAGCCAUCAUCUAUUUUCCUACUAUAAUGAUUAGGCAUUUGGCACAAGAGCAAUGCAGAUGCCUGUAUGGUUUAUUACAUUACAGUUUUGCUAUGGUUUGUUCUUUCUAGCACACAGCAUAACGAAACUAUUUCCAGGAAGUCUGAAGCAUUAUUUAAUAGAAUAGUGAAUAAAACCGCACUUAGCAAUUUAAUGAGUGUAUCUUAAAAUGUAUUUCUAAGGUUGUAAGUAUUGAUAAUCACAGUUACCAUAACUACAUUAUAAAGGUAUUGCUUUUAUUGAUAUCAUAACAAACCUUUUUCCCUCAGCCAAAGACCGUUAACUGAGAAUUAAAGUUGUCUAGUGUCAACGAUUGCCAGGUUAUACAAUGUUCAUGACUUUGAGAUUUGAGCUGUUGUUAUAUCUACAACCAUGAAUACUUUAUCAUGGAUCAUCUGCACUUGUCAGUGAAAAAUAAAAUUACAUUUUGCAUA